GACGAACGCGGCGGCGUGCUUAACACAUGCAAGUCGAACGCUGAAGGCCCAGCUUGCUGGGUUGGAUGAGUGGCGAACGGGUGAGUAAUACGUGAGUAACCUACCUUUAACUCUGGGAUAAGCCUGGGAAACUGGGUCUAAUACCGGAUACGACCAAUCUCCGCAUGGGGUGUUGGUGGAAAGCGUUAUGUAGUGGUUAUAGAUGGGCUCACGGCCUAUCAGCUUGUUGGUGAGGUAACGGCUCACCAAGGCGACGACGGGUAGCCGGCCUGAGAGGGUGACCGGCCACACUGGGACUGAGACACGGCCCAGACUCCUACGGGAGGCAGCAGUGGGGAAUAUUGCACAAUGGGCGCAAGCCUGAUGCAGCGACGCCGCGUGAGGGAUGACGGCCUUCGGGUUGUAAACCUCUGUUAGCAGGGAAGAAGAGAAAUUGACGGUACCUGCAGAGAAAGCGCCGGCUAACUACGUGCCAGCAGCCGCGGUAAUACGUAGGGCGCGAGCGUUGUCCGGAAUUAUUGGGCGUAAAGAGCUUGUAGGCGGUUUGUCGCGUCUGCUGUGAAAGGCCGGGGCUUAACCCCGUGUAUUGCAGUGGGUACGGGCAGACUAGAGUGCAGUAGGGGAGACUGGAACUCCUGGUGUAGCGGUGGAAUGCGCAGAUAUCAGGAAGAACACCGAUGGCGAAGGCAGGUCUCUGGGCUGUAACUGACGCUGAGAAGCGAAAGCAUGGGGAGCGAACAGG
This 742-nucleotide ribosomal RNA is filed under the name Rothia mucilaginosa. Its description in RNAcentral is "bacterial SSU rRNA". It matches the Rfam family "Bacterial small subunit ribosomal RNA", at positions 28 to 776 of the family's 1533-position model. Lineage: Bacteria; Bacillati; Actinomycetota; Actinomycetes; Micrococcales; Micrococcaceae. The record is from RNAcentral.